AGUAAAGUGGCGAAAGGGUGAGUACAGUUGGAUAACCUGCCCUGAAGAGGAGGAUAAGAUCGGGAAACCGUUGUAAUACUCCUAUAAGACACGGAUAUCGUAUCGGGGUAAAAGGAUACCGCUUCAGGAGGGGUCAAUGACUAUCAGCUUGUUGGUGAGGUAAUGGCUCACCAAGGCGGCGACGGUUACCUGGUCUGAGAGGAUGUCCAGGCACAUUGGGACUGAGACACUGCCCAAACACCUACGGGUGGCUGCAGUUCGGAAUAUCCACAAUGCGCGAAAGCGUGAUGGGGCGACGCCGCGUGUGUGACGAAGGCCCUCGGGUUGUAAAGCACUGUCAGGAGCUAGCAAAUGGAAACUUGAGUUAAACUCCAGAGGAAGGACCGGCUAACUACGUGCCAGCAGCCGCGGUACACGUAGGGUCCAAACGUUGUUCGGUGUCACUGGGCUUAAAGGGCUCGCAGGCGGUCUGUUAAGUGAGAUGUGAAAUCCCGCGGCUCACCCGCGGACGUGCAUUUCAUACUGGCAGACUAGAGGCAUGCAGAGGUAAGGGGAAUUCUUGGUGUAGCGGUGACAUGCCCAGAUAUCAAGGAGAAGACCGGUGGCGAAGGCGCCUUACUAGGGCAUGACCUGACGCUCAUGAGCGAAAGCUUGGGGUAGCAAACAGGAUUAGAUACCCUGGUAGUCCACGCUGUUGACGAUGUUACACUAGGGUAGGGGAGAUAACGAGUUUUCCCCUGCCGUAGCGGAAAGCGUUAAGUGUACCGCCUGGGGAGUAUGGUCGCAAGGUCUGAAACUCUAAGGAAUUGACGGGUGCUCACACAAGCGGUGGAGCAUGUUGCUUAAUUCGAAGCAACGCGUAGAACCUUACCCGGAUUUGACAUCUACGGAUUAGCUAUAUGAAUAUAUGGUGACGCCUUACCGGUGGAACGUAGACAGGCGCUGCACGUCUGUCGUCAGCUCGUGCCGUGAGGUGUCGGGUUAAGUCCCUUAACGAGCGAAACCCCUAUCCCUAGUUGCCAGCGGUUCGUCCGGGGACUCUAGGGAGACUGCCGGUGUUAAACCGGAGGAAGGUGGGGAUGACGUCAAGUCAUCAUGGCCCUUACAUCCGGGGCGGCAAACGUGCUACAAU
This 1132-nucleotide ribosomal RNA is filed under the name uncultured organism. Its description in RNAcentral is "bacterial SSU rRNA". It matches the Rfam family "Bacterial small subunit ribosomal RNA", at positions 89 to 1231 of the family's 1533-position model. The record is from RNAcentral.